This 330-nucleotide long non-coding RNA is filed under the name Strongylocentrotus purpuratus (purple sea urchin). RNAcentral describes it as "uncharacterized LOC105437969, transcript variant X4". The record is from RNAcentral. Lineage: Eukaryota; Metazoa; Echinodermata; Echinoidea; Camarodonta; Strongylocentrotidae.
AUUUACUGUAAGGUACAUGAGAAUCUUAAGUUAUUUACUGCAAUGUAUUUACUGCAAGGUACAUGAUAAUCGCAAGGUAUUUACUGCAAGGUACAUGUAUUUACUGCAAGGUAUAUGAGGAUCGCAAGGUAUUUACUGCAAGGUACAUGAGAAUCUUAAGUUAUUUACUGCAAGGUAUUUACUGCAAGGUACAUGAUAAUCGCAAGGUAUUUACUGCAAGGUAUUUACUGCAAGGUACAUGAGAAUCGCAAGGUAUUUACUGCAAGAUAUAUGAGGAUCGCAAGGUAUAAUCAUAUAUACAACAUAAAUAAUAAUCAUAAAUAUACAAGA